ACUCCUACGGGAGGCAGCAGUAGGGAAUUUUCCGCAAUGGACGAAAGUCUGACGGAGCAAUGCCGCGUGAGUGAUGAAGGUUUUCGAAUCGUAAAGCUCUGUUGUAAGGGAAGAAUAGCAAGAAUAGGAAAUGAUUCUUGUCUGACGGUACCUUACCAGAAAGCCACGGCUAACUACGUGCCAGCAGCCGCGGUAAUACGAAGGGGGCUAGCGUUGUUCGGAAUCACUGGGCGUAAAGCGCACGUAGGCGGAUUGAUAAGUUAGGGGUGAAAUCCCGGGGCUCAACCUCGGAACUGCCUUUGAUACUGUCAGUCUUGAGUCCGAGAGAGGUGAGUGGAACUCCGAGUGUAGAGGUGAAAUUCGUAGAUAUUCGGAAGAACACCAGUGGCGAAGGCGGCUCACUGGCUCGGUACUGACGCUGAGGUGCGAAAGCGUGGGGAGCAAA
RNAcentral lists this ribosomal RNA (445 nucleotides) under uncultured bacterium. RNAcentral describes it as "bacterial SSU rRNA". It matches the Rfam family "Bacterial small subunit ribosomal RNA", at positions 335 to 772 of the family's 1533-position model. The record is from RNAcentral.